This is an RNA transcript of Argentina anserina (silverweed cinquefoil), 1179 nucleotides long. It is a transcript of the gene named probable ribosome-binding factor A, chloroplastic, with no coding region annotated. Lineage: Eukaryota; Viridiplantae; Streptophyta; Magnoliopsida; Rosales; Rosaceae. The transcript is spliced from 4 exons. The record is from RefSeq and is a predicted model, not a curated record.
AGUUCGCCCCCUUAUCUGAACUCCAUUUGUUCUCUCUCAUGGCGAAUGCCCUCCGAAGUUGGGCUCCGAGGGCACCAUUGAAGGCUCGUACAGCUCUCUCGUCAAACUCCCUCAAACCCUUUUAUGCGUCCUUCCCUAGUCACUUUCGAUCAUCAAGGUUCCCAAUUCAGACCCACAAACCAGCUGCCUGGAUUCACCCCAGAAACCAUCGUGCGGUUCUGCUUGGCGGCAUUAGGUGCAUGGCAAAGCCGCGCAGAGUGGCAAUGGUGGCAAAGCAGAUACAGAGGGAGCUCUCUGACAUGCUCUUAACUGAUAAGGUGUUGCAAUACGCUAUUUUGCCUGAGGUUUCUUUGGGCGCUGACCGUUAUCUCUCUUCUUUGACCACAAUUAGUGAUGUUGAGGUCUCUACCGACUUGCAGGUGGUAAAGGUAUUUGUAUCCGUCUUUGGUGAUGAAAGAGGGAAGGAGGUUGCCCUUGCUGGGCUAAAGUCAAAAGCAAAGUAUGUCCGUGGUGAAUUGGGACGGCGUAUGAAACUGCGUUUGACUCCUGAGAUACGCUUCAUUGAAGAUGAAUCGUUAGAGAGAGGAAGCAGGGUGAUUGCAAUAUUAGAUCGGAUAAAGAAUGAUAAGAAAGAUGGACAAAUGCAAGAUGAGGAGCAAUUGGAAUCAUCUGACAGUCUUCAGGAUGAUAAAGAUUGGGAGGAUGAUGAUCCUGAUGAAGACAUUAUAUACAUAAAGUAGUUUGUCUGCUACUUGCAUUAGGCUUCUUCAAAUUUAGACAUCGAUUUGCUUAUCCUCCAGGCUACUACCAAGAUAGCCACUGCGAAUCUGGACAGAAGCAACUCUUCCCAAUUGUACCCAUCAUCUGAAUUAAAAGCUUCAAGCCUUCAACCACGUCGCACCUUACUUCAAAUAUUUGUGCUUUUCUUCCAGUGGCUUUUUUUUUUUUUUUGGUUUGUCUAUGUAGGUUUAUGUGACUCAACUGUGUUAGAUAGUCGAGGAGUUUACUCAAGAUGCAUUUCGUAGGCCUUGAGAUUUUCUUCUGUUUUCUGUUGCACUAUAUACAAGUACUGGUAAUGAUCAAUGAGGCAAUCCACUCAUUCAAUGACUAAACCUCAUUGCUGGAGUGAAACUGAAAACUUGGUGUAGGAGCAUUUUACCUAAGCCUUCACAGAACACU